This 747-nucleotide ribosomal RNA is filed under the name Salmonella enterica. Its description in RNAcentral is "partial 23S ribosomal RNA". It matches the Rfam family "Bacterial large subunit ribosomal RNA", at positions 1 to 788 of the family's 2925-position model. Lineage: Bacteria; Pseudomonadati; Pseudomonadota; Gammaproteobacteria; Enterobacterales; Enterobacteriaceae. The record is from RNAcentral.
GAGGUUAAGCGACUAAGCGUACACGGUGGAUGCCCUGGCAGUCAGAGGCGAUGAAGGACGUGCUAAUCUGCGAUAAGCGCCGGUAAGGUGAUAUGAACCGUUAUAACCGGCGAUUUCCGAAUGGGGAAACCCAGUGUGACUCGUCACACUAUCAUUAACUGAAUCCAUAGGUUAAUGAGGCGAACCGGGGGAACUGAAACAUCUAAGUACCCCGAGGAAAAGAAAUCAACCGAGAUUCCCCCAGUAGCGGCGAGCGAACGGGGAGGAGCCCAGAGCCUGAAUCAGCAUGUGUGUUAGUGGAAGCGUCUGGAAAGGCGCGCGAUACAGGGUGACAGCCCCGUACACAAAAGCGCAUGUGCUGUGAGCUCGAUGAGUAGGGCGGGACACGUGGUAUCCUGUCUGAAUAUGGGGGGACCAUCCUCCAAGGCUAAAUACUCCUGACUGACCGAUAGUGAACCAGUACCGUGAGGGAAAGGCGAAAAGAACCCCGGCGAGGGGAGUGAAAAAGAACCUGAAACCGUGUACGUACAAGCAGUGGGAGCACCCUUUGGGGUGUGACUGCGUACCUUUUGUAUAAUGGGUCAGCGACUUAUAUUCUGUAGCAAGGUUAACCGAAUAGGGGAGCCGGAGGGAAACCGAGUCUUAAUUGGGCGUUAAGUUGCAGGGUAUAGACCCGAAACCCGGUGAUCUAGCCAUGGGCAGGUUGAAGGUUGGGUAACACUAACUGGAGGACCGAACCGACUAAUG